AGUGAACGCUGGCGGUAGGCCUAACACAUGCAAGUCGAACGGCAGCACAGUAAGAGCUUGCUCUUACGGGUGGCGAGUGGCGGACGGGUGAGGAAUACAUCGGAAUCUACUUUUUCGUGGGGGUUAACGUAGGGAAACUUACGCUAAUCCCGCAUACGACCUUCGGGUGAAAGCAUGGGAUCUUCGGACCUUGCGCGAUUGAAUUAGCCGUUGUCGGAUUAGCUAGUUGGCGGGGUAAAGGCCCACCAAGGCGACGCUCCGUAGCUGGUCUGAGAGGAUGAUCAGCCAAACUGGAACUGAAACACGGUCCAGACUCCUACGGGAGGCAGCAGUGGGGAAUAUUGGACAAUGGGCGCAAGCCUGAUCCAGCCAUACCGCGUGGGUGAAGAAGGCCUUCGGGUUGUAAAGCCCUUUUGUUGGGAAAGAAAAGCAGCAGGUUAAUACCCCGCUGUUCUGACGGUACCCAAAGAAUAAGCACCGGCUAACUUCGUG
This 492-nucleotide ribosomal RNA is filed under the name uncultured bacterium. Its description in RNAcentral is "partial 16S ribosomal RNA". It matches the Rfam family "Bacterial small subunit ribosomal RNA", at positions 29 to 507 of the family's 1533-position model. The record is from RNAcentral.